RNAcentral lists this long non-coding RNA (819 nucleotides) under Olea europaea subsp. europaea. Lineage: Eukaryota; Viridiplantae; Streptophyta; Magnoliopsida; Lamiales; Oleaceae. The record is from RNAcentral.
CCUCAACUCCGGCCCACCUAUCAACCAGCCAAACGAUCCGAAGACACAAUAGCUCUGCCGCUGCUCUAUUUAUCUUCCUGUAAGUGUUCUUCGACAAUGGCAUUAUUAGCACAAAACAUAGUGCUUGAGAAGUUCAACAGUUGAAGAAGCUAUUGCCAGAGAGGCAAAAGUUGCAACAGUGGCUACCAUUGUUAUUAUAACCUACCACGCCAAUCUAUGUGACAAAUAAAAUUAACAAAUUCUUGGAAAUUACAACCUACAUGGGUAUGGCUCAACUUGAUCAAAGAAUCACCAAAAUGUCAUUUUCUCUCUACAAAAAAUUGUAAUCAAUAAGCAUAUUUAUACCAUUAAGCAAGUCCAUUACAUUCACACUCGCAGCUAGUGAUUCGCAAACUUGAGUAAAUAUUACCUGAGUGAGCACCAUAGAAUAAGUUGUACAUGCAGUAACAUCACAUUCUGGGUGAGUUAUCAUCGGACAACAGUGCAGUGCAUAAUUAAAGAACUCUAUUCUGAAGGCAUGUAUAUUAAACAAUAAAACCCCUUUACUCACAUCUUCCAUAAAAACACGAAUAAGAUAAGUACAAAAAUAAAAUUGAUACUAUAUAUAGUAUAUAAAACAACUUAAGCAGACAAAAAAAUCUUAAACAACGACAUGAGAAAGAGAGAAUUUUAAAAUCCAAUAAACACCUACCUCGCCAUUUGGUAGGGAAACCUCCAGCGCCCAUGUUAAUACAGAGUCUACAGCUAGACAAUAACCUGUCAAAACUCCAAUUUAACAAAAAUAGCAAUCUCUUAUGUAAGAUAAUUAGGAAAUGACGG